GGGCUAGUAGCUUAGACGGGCCCAAAGCGUCUGGCUUUUAACCAGAAAAUCGAGGGUUCAAAUCCCUCCUAGCCCG
This 76-nucleotide transfer RNA is filed under the name Haloquadratum sp. J07HQX50. It matches the Rfam family "tRNA". Rfam says of the family: Transfer RNA (tRNA) molecules are approximately 80 nucleotides in length. Their secondary structure includes four short double-helical elements and three loops (D, anti-codon, and T loops). Further hydrogen bonds mediate the characteristic L-shaped molecular structure. tRNAs have two regions of fundamental functional importance: the anti-codon, which is responsible for specific mRNA codon recognition, and the 3' end, to which the tRNAs corresponding amino acid is attached (by aminoacyl-tRNA synthetases). tRNAs cope with the degeneracy of the genetic code in two manners: having more than one tRNA (with a specific anti-codon) for a particular amino acid; and 'wobble' base-pairing, i.e. permitting non-standard base-pairing at the 3rd anti-codon position. Lineage: Archaea; Methanobacteriati; Methanobacteriota; Halobacteria; Halobacteriales; Haloferacaceae. The record is from Rfam by way of RNAcentral.